AACGUAGGAGGCGAGCGUUAUCCGGAGUGACUGGGCGUAAAGCGCGUGUAGGCGGUCAGGCAAGCUGGGUGUGAAAGCGCCAGGCUCAACCUGGCGAGGCCAUCCAGGACUGCGUGGUUGGAGGCCGGUAGAGGAGUGCGGAAUUCCGGGUGUAGCGGUGAAAUGUGUAGAGAUCCGGAGGAACACCAGUGGUGCAGACGGCGCUCUGGGCCGGACCUGACGCUGAGACGCGAAAGCGUCGGGAGCGAACGGG
This 253-nucleotide ribosomal RNA is filed under the name uncultured bacterium. RNAcentral's name for it is "partial 16S ribosomal RNA". It matches the Rfam family "Bacterial small subunit ribosomal RNA", at positions 524 to 776 of the family's 1533-position model. The record is from RNAcentral.